UGAGUAACGCGUAUCCAACCUGCCCUUCACCACGGGAUAACCCGGCGAAAGUCGGACUAAUACCGUAUGUUGUCCAUUGACGGCAUCCGAUUUGGACGAAAGGUUUGGCGGUGAGGGAUGGGGAUGCGUCCGAUUAGCCAGACGGCGGGGUAACGGCCCACCGUGGCUACGAUCGGUAGGGGUUCUGAGAGGAAGGUCCCCCACACUGGAACUGAGACACGGUCCAGACUCCUACGGGAGGCAGCAGUGAGGAAUAUUGGUCAAUGGGCGUAAGCCUGAACCAGCCAAGUAGCGUGCAGGAUGACGGCCCUAUGGGUUGUAAACUGCUUUUAUGCGGGGAUAAAGUGGCCCACGUGUGGGUUUUUGCAGGUACCGCAUGAAUAAGGACCGGCUAAUUCCGUGCCAGCAGCCGCGGUAAUACGGAAGGUCCGGGCGUUAUCCGGAUUUAUUGGGUUUAAAGGGAGCGUAGGCCGCGCCUUAAGCGUGUUGUGAAAUCCGGGUGCUCAACAUCCGGCUUGCAGCGCGAACUGGGGCGCUUGAGUGCGCUGAAAGUAGGCGGAAUUCGUGGUGUAGCGGUGAAAUGCUUAGAUAUCACGAGGAACUCCGAUUGCGAAGGCAGCCUACUGUAGCGCUACUGACGCUGAUGCUCGAAAGCGUGGGUAUCGAACAGGAUUAGAUACCCUGGUAGUCCACGCGGUAAACGAUGGAUGCUCGUUGUCGGCCCCUUGGGUCGGUGACCAAGCGAAAGCGUUAAGCAUCCCA
Molecule: ribosomal RNA, 762 nt
Filed under: uncultured Prevotella sp.
Lineage: Bacteria; Pseudomonadati; Bacteroidota; Bacteroidia; Bacteroidales; Prevotellaceae
Description: bacterial SSU rRNA
Rfam family: Bacterial small subunit ribosomal RNA
Source: RNAcentral